GAUGAAGAACGUAGCGAAAUGCGAAAAGUAAUGUGAAUUGCAGAAUUCAGUGAAUCAUCGAAUCUUUGAACGCACAUUGCGCCCGCUGGUACUCCGGCGGGCACGCCUGUCCGAGCGUCAUUUCAACCCUCAAGCCCUCCUUCGGGAUGGGCCUGGUGUUGGGGCUCGGCCGCCAUCUCCGGCGGCCGUCCCCUAAAUACAGUGGCGGUCACGUCGCGACUCCUUUGCGUAGUAGAAACACCUCGCUCCGGAUAGCAACGCGGUCCACGCCGUAAAAUCCCCAAUUUUCAAUGGUUGACCUCGGAUCAGGUGGGAAUACCCGCUGAACUUAAGCAUAUCAAUAGCGGAGGA
This 351-nucleotide unclassified non-coding RNA is filed under the name soil metagenome. RNAcentral describes it as "partial contains 5.8S ribosomal RNA, internal transcribed spacer 2, and large subunit ribosomal RNA". The stretch from base 1 to 120 matches the Rfam family "5.8S ribosomal RNA", at positions 35 to 154 of the family's 154-position model. The record is from RNAcentral.